ACAGGAUUGGGCCAUGUGAUAUAAAAUAGUCAUCUCUACAUAUAGUUUUUGUUUCUACCUGCUCCUCUUCAUGCACCUUCUCAAUUCAAUUCAGCCGAAUGGACACCAAAGCCAGGCACGUAGUGAAAAACCUUCUGUACACAGCUUUACAAACGUAAUGACCGCCUGCUGCAAGGCCCGCCACUCAGGCCGAUACGCCACACAACCCUUCAUUGAGAUCCGCGUGAGUUCGGAACCUAACGACUGCCAUGCCGGGCAACUGACACGAGUCCAACCAGCCCACGGGCCGUCAGUCGGCAUCAAAGGUCUCUCGGUCAGGCUGCACAAGUAAAGUUGAGCAUCUCGGUCUCGGACUUACACAUCAACUCUGGAGCUUACGGAGGGUUUUAAGCUGCCACUUGUGCUCAAAUCAAAUGCAACAACAAACAUUCUGCAAAGAGAGGACAAAGACCUACCACCAUCCAAGGGGCAUUGGGACCCAAAGAUGGACUAUUGAACAACAC
Molecule: long non-coding RNA, 503 nt
Filed under: Gallus gallus (chicken)
Lineage: Eukaryota; Metazoa; Chordata; Aves; Galliformes; Phasianidae
Source: RNAcentral